This 748-nucleotide ribosomal RNA is filed under the name uncultured bacterium. RNAcentral's name for it is "bacterial SSU rRNA". It matches the Rfam family "Bacterial small subunit ribosomal RNA", at positions 56 to 797 of the family's 1533-position model. The record is from RNAcentral.
UGCAAUCGAGCGAUCUCGCAGAGAUAGCGGUAAACGGGUGAGGAACACGUAAAUAAUCUKSSCCUUAUCCKGACAUAGCCCUAUGAAAAUAGGGGUAAUAUCAGAUGACACCAUGAGCUCUCAUGAGCUUAUGUUUAAAGACCGGGACCGCAAGGCCGGUCGAUAUGGGAUGAGUUUGCGUAGCAUCAGCUAGUUGGUAGGGUAACGGCCUACCARGGCUAUGACGCUUAGCUGGUCUGAGAGGAUGGUCAGCCACACUGGGACUGAGACACUGCCCAGACUCCUACGGGAGGCUGCAGUCGAGAAUCUUUAGCAAUGGGCGAAAGCCUGACUAUGCGACGCCGCGUGAGGGAUGAAGGAUUUCGGUUCGUAAACCUCUUUUGGCAGGGAAGAAAAAGUUGCAGUUAAUAGCUGCAAAACUGACGGUACCUGCAGAAUAAGCCACGGCUAACUCCGUGCCAGCAGCCGCGGUAAUACGGAGGUGGCUAGCGUUACUCGGAAUUAUUGGGUGUAAAGGGCAAGUAGGCGGCUUGGUAAGUGGGGGGUGAAAUACUCCGGCURAAUCGGAGAACUGCCUUCCAAACUACCAGGCUUGAGUGUGACAGAGGAAAAUGGAAUUCUCGGUGUAAGGGUGAAAUCUGUAGAUAUCGAGAAGAACACCAGCGGCGAAGGCGAUUUUCUGGGUCACUACUGACGCUAAAUUGCGAAAGCUAGGGGAGCAAACAGAAUUAGAUACUCUGGUAGUCCU